GUGCUGACUUCAGCAACACCUGUACUAAAAUUGGAGCAAUACAGAGAUGAUGAGGAUGGCCCUUGCACAAGGAUGAUGUGCAAAUCUGUGAAGCGACCAUUUUUUUU
Small nuclear RNA from Hyaena hyaena (striped hyena), 107 nucleotides. NCBI's taxonomy places the organism in Eukaryota, Metazoa, Chordata, Mammalia, Carnivora, Hyaenidae. The record is from RefSeq and is a predicted model, not a curated record.